This 254-nucleotide ribosomal RNA is filed under the name uncultured bacterium. Its description in RNAcentral is "partial 16S ribosomal RNA". It matches the Rfam family "Bacterial small subunit ribosomal RNA", at positions 524 to 776 of the family's 1533-position model. The record is from RNAcentral.
UACGGGGGGAGCAAGCGUUGUUCGGAUUCACUGGGCGUAAAGGGCGCGUAGGCGGCCACCGCAAGUCGGUUGUGAAAUCUCCGGGCUUAACCCGGAAAGGUCAAUCGAUACUGCGGGGCUAGAGUGCAGAAGGGGCAACUGGAAUUCUCGGUGUAGCGGUGAAAUGCGUAGAUAUCGAGAGGAACACCUGCGGCGAAGGCGGGUUGCUGGGCUGACACUGACGCUGAAGCGCGAAAGCUAGGGGAGCGAACGGG